CCUACGGGUGGCAGCAGUGAGGAAUAUUGGUCAAUGGGCGGAAGCCUGAACCAGCCAAGUAGCGUGCAGGAUGACGGCCCUACGGGUUGUAAACUGCUUUUAUACGGGAAUAACGCGCCUUACGUGUAGGGCUUUGCAUGUACCGUAUGAAUAAGGACCGGCUAAUUCCGUGCCAGCAGCCGCGGUAAUACGGAAGGUCCGGGCGUUCUCCGGAUUUAUUGGGUUUAAAGGGAGCGUAGGCCGCAUGUCAAGCGUGCUGUGAAAUGUCCUGGCUCAACCCGGGCCUUGCAGCGCGAACUGGCGUGCUUGAGUCCGCGGAAGGCAGGCGGAAUUCGUCGUGUAGCGGUGAAAUGCUUAGAUAUGACGAAGAACCCCGAUUGCGAAGGCAGCCUGCUGCAGCGGAACUGACGCUGAUGCUCGAAAGCGCGGGUAUCGAACAGGAUUAGAUACCCCGGUAGUC
Molecule: ribosomal RNA, 460 nt
Filed under: uncultured bacterium
Lineage: Bacteria
Description: partial 16S ribosomal RNA
Rfam family: Bacterial small subunit ribosomal RNA
Source: RNAcentral